AGUGAACGCUGGCGGUAGGCCUAACACAUGCAAGUCGAACGGCAGCACAGUAAGAGCUUGCUCUUACGGGUGGCGAGUGGCGGACGGGUGAGGAAUACAUCGGAAUCUACUUUUUCGUGGGGGAUAACGUAGGGAAACUUACGCUAAUACCGCAUACGACCUACGGGUGAAAGCAGGGGAUCUUCGGACCUUGCGCGAUUGAAUGAGCCGAUGUCGGAUUAGCUAGUUGGCGGGGUAAAGGCCCACCAAGGCGACGAUCCGUAGCUGGUUUGAGAGGAUGAUCAGCCACACUGGAACUGAGACACGGUCCAGACUCCUACGGGAGGCAGCAGUGGGGAAUAUUGGACAAUGGGCGCAAGCCUGAUCCAGCCAUACCGCGUGGGUGAAGAAGGCCUUCGGGUUGUAAGGCCCUUUUGUUGGGAAAGAAAAGCAGCAGGUUAAUACCCCGCUGUUCUGACGGUACCCAAAGAAUAAGCACCGGCUAACUUCGUG
This 492-nucleotide ribosomal RNA is filed under the name uncultured bacterium. RNAcentral describes it as "partial 16S ribosomal RNA". It matches the Rfam family "Bacterial small subunit ribosomal RNA", at positions 29 to 507 of the family's 1533-position model. The record is from RNAcentral.